This 440-nucleotide ribosomal RNA is filed under the name uncultured bacterium. RNAcentral describes it as "partial 16S ribosomal RNA". It matches the Rfam family "Bacterial small subunit ribosomal RNA", at positions 338 to 795 of the family's 1533-position model. The record is from RNAcentral.
CCUACGGGUGGCAGCAGUGGGGAAUAUUGCACAAUGGGGGCAACCCUGAUGCAGCAACGCCGCGUGAGUGAUGAAGUUCUUCGUUACGUAAAGCUCUAUCAUCAGGGAAGAACAUGACGAUACUUGAGCAAUAACCCCCGGCCACCAACGAGCCAGCCGCCGCGGGAAUACGACGGGGGCAGGCGUCAUCCGGAUUGACUGGGUGUAAAGGGGGCGUCGUCGGUGAGGUAAGGAGGGAGCGAAAUGCCUCGGGUCAACUGCGGAACCGCUGUUGAAACUGCCAGACUAGAGUGCGGGAGGGGUAAGCGGAAUGCCUAGUGUAGCGGUGAAAUGCGUAGAUAUUAGGAGGAACACCGGGGGCGAAGGCGGCUUACUGGACCGUAACUGACGUUGAGGCUCGAAAGCGUGGGGAGCAAACAGGAUUAGAUACCCGUGUAGUC